This is an RNA transcript of Humulus lupulus (European hop), 4850 nucleotides long. It is a transcript of the gene named PH, RCC1 and FYVE domains-containing protein 1, with no coding region annotated. The transcript is spliced from 11 exons. The record is from RefSeq and is a predicted model, not a curated record. NCBI's taxonomy places the organism in Eukaryota, Viridiplantae, Streptophyta, Magnoliopsida, Rosales, Cannabaceae.
AAGCAUGUGAUUUGGUGUACACGUGCAUAUAUUAUAUGGUAUAUGGCAAUAGUUUACCUCAUUUCGUUUCAUACGCUCAAAUAAUACCAUACUAACACUCGCACACACCUUCCUUCUUCCACUUCCUCUUCUCUCUCUCUCUCUCCCUCUGCACACCUUUCAGAGUGAUCAAAGAAAUACAGUAAUGGAAUGGAGGAACUGAUUCUCUAAUCUCCAUCUUCUCGUUUUUUAAGAAAAACAAUAAACAAAAAAAAUAAAAAAAAAACAAAAGAAAAAGAGGAGAAAGUCUCUUUCUUUCUCUAUCUGUUCCUCCUCCCUCCCCUGUUGUUUAUUUGUUUUUAUUUUAAUUUCAUGUACAUCAAAAAUAAAAAUAAAAUGGUGUUUGCAAAAGAGAAGGACAAUUAUAUGUUGUGCUGUAAAACAUUCUUAUUCUACCUCUGCACUUGUUAAGGAGGUUACCCUUCUUCUUAUUCUGCUUCCUUUGACCCUGCUGCCAUUUGUGUUGUGUUCAAUGGGUGAAAUAUCUUCACCAACUGUUCCCUUUGACAGAGCAGUUCAACAGGCAAUUGUGUCAAUCAAGAAGGGUGCAUAUCUUUUGAAAUGUGGACGAAGAGGAAAGCCCAAGUUUUGUCCUUUCCGGCUUUCGACGGAUGAGAAAUUUUUAAUAUGGUAUUCAGGACAAGAGGAAAGACAAUUGAGACUGAGCUCUGUUGUGAAGGUUAUCCCUGGACAGAAGACUGUUAGUUUCCAGCGACAGCUUCAACCAGAAAAGGAAUCUCAUUCUUUUUCCCUUAUCUAUGCAAAUGGUGAACGCUCACUUGAUCUGAUUUGCAAGGACAAAGGGCAAGCUGAUGCUUGGGUACUAGGAUUGAGAGUUAUCUCAUCCAGAUGUAACCAUUCUAAACCAUUUAAUAGUUUGAGAAGUCACAGGGGGGCACAGAGUUGUAUCAGCAGUCCAGCUGGUUUUAUUAGAAGAAAGUAUAAUCUUGGACUUUCAGAGGACGACACUGAACUUUCCCAGGUCCAUAACAUCUGUGGAAGUCCUAGUUUGUCACUUUCAGAGCGAUGCUUUUCUGAUGGAUUGUCGAAUUCUUCUGGUAGUUUUUAUUGGUCGGAGGCAGCCCUAUCAACUGCACAGAAUGUUGUGGACAUUUCUAUUCCGAAUUCUCCAUAUAUUGAACCAGAUCAUCACAAAAGGAGAUAUGAAGAGAAUGUGCUCAUUAAGUUGGCUGCCCCUAGCUGUGAAAUGCCACGAAUAGAAAAUAAAAAUAUUUUGCAGGAUGUAAUGAUAUGGGGUGAGAAUGUAGAAGGAAUUUUAGAUGGCACAAGCAAUAAGUCUAGUAAUGAAAAUCUACAUGUGGAUGUGUUAUUGCCCAAGUUAUUUGAGUCCACAUCUACUUUAGAUAUACUAAAUAUGUCUCUUGGAGGAAAACAUGCUGCCUUAGUUACUAAAGAGGGUGAAAUCUUUUGCUGGGGUGAAGCAAAGGGAGGAAGGCUUGGUCACAAAAUUGAUGUGAACGUGAGCUAUCCCAAACAUGUUGACUCCCUUAGUAGUGUCCAGGUGAAAACUGUUGUUUGCAGUGAAUAUCAAACACAUGCUUUGACACAUUCGGGUGAGCUAUAUGUUUGGGGGGACACUGGUUUUGAUUCUUUGGUGGGUGAGGAGAAAAGUAGAAGUCAGUGGUUGCCUCAUAAAAUUUCUGGUCCUUUGGAUGGUAUUACUAUAUCAAAUAUUGCUUGUGGGGAGUGGCAUUCUGCAGUGGUGUCAACUUCUGGGCAGUUAUUUACAUGGGGAGAUGGAACUUUUGGGGUUUUGGGUCAUGGGAAUGUUAAAAGUCUCCCUCAACCAAAAGAAGUUGAAUCUCUAAAGGGUUUGUGGGUAAAAUCUGUUGCAUGUGGAUCAUGGCACACUGCUGCUAUUGUUGAAAUCAUUAAUGAUCAUUUUAAAUUCAGUGCUAUUGGUGGGAAAUUAUUUACAUGGGGUGAUGGAGAUAAACGGAGGCUCGGGCAUGCUGAUGAGGAUAAGAAGCUUUUACCAACAUGUGUUGCACAACUCGUAGACCAUGAUUUUGUUCAAGUUUGUUGUGGAAGAAUGUUGACGGUUGGGCUUACCAGUCAUGGUACGGUAUAUACAAUGGGAAGUGCAAUACAUGGGCAGUUGGGUAAUCCACAGGCCAAAGAUAGAUCAAUCACAAUUGUUGAGGGAAAACUUAAGGAAGAGUUUAUCAAGAAAAUAGCAUCAGGCUCAUAUCAUGUUGCUGCUUUGACGACUACUGGGCGUGUUUAUUCCUGGGGGAAGGGUGCAAAUGGGCAGUUAGGAUUAGGUGAUGGUGAAGAUAGAAACACACCAACAUUAGUGGAGGCUCUGGAAGACAGGCAGAUAGAAAGUAUUAUUUGUGGAUCAAAUUCUACAGCUGCCAUCUGUUUGCACAGAUCAGUUUCAGUUACUGAUCAGUCCGCUUGCAGUGGAUGUAAGGUGCCUUUUGGGUUUACAAAGAAGAAGCAUAACUGUUAUAAUUGUGGUCUUCAUUUCUGCCAUUCUUGUAGUAGUAAGAAGGCUAUAAAUGCAUCUCUGGCGCCUAACAAAAGCAAGGCUUUUCGAGUGUGUGAUCGAUGCUUCACUAAUCUAAGGGGAGUAGGACAUUUGGCUAGACUGUUUAAGCUAGACCAUGAUGGCAUUAAGCAACCAUUGAACGAACGGAAGGGUUUCCUAGAGGAGACUGAAAGUAGGGGAGCUGGAGCUGCAACACCUAAAUAUGGUAAACUGAUGUCUGCCAAUCAUUCUUCUAACUCGGAUAGUCAAUUCAUUAGAAGGAUAUCAGCAAAAAUCCAUGGGGAAGACCAGCUAAAUCUAGAAUCUAAUUCUUCUUUUUUGGGCGGCCAGCCACAUUGGGGGCAAGUCCUGUGUCCACCUCUUUUUGAUGUACAUCAUAGAGAAGUUUCUGUAGGAUUUAACCUGCUGUCCAAAACUCAAUCUUCUCCUGCUGCUGCUUCAGAGUAUCUAGAAUCCAAUAUGUAUAGUACAAGUACUGCAGAUAAUGUCAUAUUUGAGUCUGAUGAGAUACUUAUUGAAGAAGUUCGGCGACUGAGAGCUCAGGUAAGAAGCCUGGAAAAGAAGUGUCAAAUGGGCUGCAAUAAAAUUCAAGAAUCUCAACAAAAGAUUGAGGAAACAUGGUCCUUGGCUAGGGAUGAAGCUGCAAAAUGUAAAGCAGCGAAAGAGGUUAUAAAAGCUUUGGCAUUGAGGCUUCAUAAAAUUUCGGACGACGUCUCUGGUGGGAAAAGAAAAGAUAAUGAUGGAGUUGACAGAAAUCUUCCUCCAAUUACACCUGUGUAUGCAUAUAGUCCUUGUUUAAAGGGUGUGCGUCCUGAGUCAAAUGUUACUGAAUUGCCUUGUGUCGGAGUAGCAAAAGAUAGACACUCAGAUUCUAUAUCUAACUCGCCUAUUCUGUUCUCUGAUACGCUUAAAUUCAUGUAUGGGAGUGAUGCAUGCCGUGAUAGCAAAUCUGAAGAGGAGUCACGAGUUGGACUAAUGGAAUCCCAAACUAAAGAUGUAAAGCUGGAAUGGGUAGAACAAUAUGAACCUGGUGUGUAUAUCACUUUCACUAUUUUGCCAAGUGGGCAGAAGGGAUUGAAACGAGUGCGAUUUAGCCGGAGAAGAUUCACAGAGAAGGAGGCAGAACGAUGGUGGGAGGAAAAUCAAAAGGUUAUGUGCCAGAAUUACAACAUAGAAGGAUAUGUUCACUCAAGCCAAAGUUAAUUGUAGGGGAUAGAUUCACUCACUGGCCCCUUUGUUGUAUGUAAAGGUGUUCUUUUCUCAAGAGAUGCUCCUCCGAGCAGGAAGAAAUCAAGCAGAAAACACCCUGGAGAAAGCAGUGGGGAGCCUUCAAGUAAAGAAGCUCGACUAGAGGACCCUCCAGCUCCCACUCCUUCUAAAUCAACUACGCCUCCUCCUCCUCAUCCUCCUCCUCGCACUACUCCUUCCACCAACUAGGUAGGAAGAUCUCUGGCUACAGAUUUAUUGAGUAAUGUUAUAGCUCAACAAACGACAAACUGCAGAGAUUGUCUAAGCACCGUCGCAGCCAGGAGGCAUUUACCUGUCUUCCUGCGUUGAAACCCGGCCAAGUCCUUGCUCGUGGGUUCAACGAACUGCUCAGUGGUAUCUUAACCAUGAACAACGGCUAGCGUCGAGCCAAGGAGGUCGAUGUGAAACAUGCCGAGGAGAUUAAAGCUUGCGAGGAGAAGGUUAAAGCGGCUGAAGAAAAAGUCUCCAUUUUAACCGAGGAGCUGAAGAGGAGCCAAGAAGAGCUGGCCAAAGCCGUUGCUGCCAAGGAGAAGUUUAAGGAAGCUUCAGAAACUAACUACAAGGAAGCAUCCAAGCUUCAAGAAGACCUAGAGGCUAGCAUGAAGGAGGCCACUGGUCUGGAGGAACGAGUCAAGCUGCUCGAGGAGACGAAUUCCCAAAACUUGGAGAGGUUUCGAGGAGCUACCUUCAACUACUUCUACUUGUUUUGGAAGAGCAAUCCAGAAGUAAACUUCGACUAUCUUCCAGAGCAAGUAAGACAAGCCGAACUUGCCAAGUGUGCUGCUCGCCUAGAGGAGGAAAGGAAUGCCAAGAAUGCCUCAGAUUCUCCUAAAAUCUCUUUGGUGACAGGCAUCGAUGGUGCUGAAGAAGACACCGAAACUUCAGUCGACCAGUAGUCUCAGCAAGACCCUCCUCCAACUGCACAGUAAAAUUUUUAUCUAUGUAAUUAAAACAUACGAACAACAGUUCAUGAUGUUAAGACAAUUUUGUUGCUUAAGACAUCUUUAAUUUCCUUUUAAUAUUUUUAAUUACACCCGAGCAGCAAUUU